CGCCGGGGCUGUCCACCCGGAAGACGACCGCCUUCACGUGGUCGUCACGGCGGGCCGCGCGCAGGGCGGCGCUGAUCGUGUCGGCGCCCACCGC
This 94-nucleotide transfer RNA is filed under the name Paraplanobispora takensis. Its description in RNAcentral is "Planobispora takensis tRNA-Val". The record is from RNAcentral. Lineage: Bacteria; Bacillati; Actinomycetota; Actinomycetes; Streptosporangiales; Streptosporangiaceae.